RNAcentral lists this ribosomal RNA (776 nucleotides) under uncultured Neocallimastigales. RNAcentral describes it as "partial large subunit ribosomal RNA". It matches the Rfam family "Eukaryotic large subunit ribosomal RNA", at positions 24 to 635 of the family's 3401-position model. Lineage: Eukaryota; Fungi; Neocallimastigomycota; Neocallimastigomycetes; Neocallimastigales. The record is from RNAcentral.
UAUGUGAUCGUCUCUCGCAUAUCAAUAAGCGGAGGAAAAGAAACUAACAAGGAUUCCCCUAGUAACGGCGAGUGAAGCGGGAAGAGCUCAAAUUUGAAAUCUUAAAGGGUUUCCCUUUACGAAUUGUAGUUUAAAGAAGUGUUUUCUGUUGAGGUUUUGGUAAAAGUUCUUUGGAAUAGGACAUCAUAGAGGGUGAGAAUCCCGUAUUUGACCUUUACUUUCAACUUUGUGAUACACUUUCAAAGAGUCGGAUUGUUUGGGAAUGCAGUCCAAAAUGGGUGGUAAAUUUCAUCUAAAGCUAAAUAUUGGCGAGAGACCGAUAGCGAACAAGGUACCGUGAGGGAAAGAUGAAAAGAACUUUGAAAAGAGAGUUAAACAGUACGUGAAAUUGUCAAAAGGGAAGCGUUUGACACCAGUGUUGUUUUUCUGAAAAUCAAUUAAAGAACUGUUUAUGCUAAGCUGUUUAGACUUUAUCAGCUAUCUGUUUAGUUUUGAGCUUUUCUUUAAUGCACUUUUCAGUUAACAAGUCAACAUCAAUUUCUUUUGCUGUAAAAAAGCUUGAGGAAGGUGGCUUGAGAUCCGUCUUAAGUGUUUAUAGCCUCUUGCCUAUGCAGUCAGGAGAGAUUGAGGUCUGCAGCGUAGAUCCUUCGGGGCUAAAUGCAUUUGUGCUAAGUUAUAGCAUUUUAUAGACAACUUGUUGACUAUGAUUUGUCUUGUAGCUUACUCGCUUAUGUUAUUUUACCUACGCUUAGGAUGUUGAACGCGCACAGAGUCUC